AAGACCUUGCACUUUUGGAGCGGCCGAUGUCUGAUUAGCUAGUUGGUGGGGUAAUGGCCUACCAAAGCUUCGAUCAGUAGCUGGUCUGAGAGGACGGCCAGCCACACUGGGACUGAGACACGGCCCAGACUCCUACGGGAGGCAGCAGUGGGGAAUUUUGGACAAUGGGCGCAAGCCUGAUCCAGCCAUGCCGCGUGAGUGAAGAAGGCCUUCGGGUUGUAAAGCUCUUUCAGCCGGAACGAAACGGUUACGGUUAAUACCCGUGACUACUGACGGUACCGGAAGAAGAAGCACCGGCUAACUACGUGCCAGCAGCCGCGGUAAUACGUAGGGUGCAAGCGUUAAUCGGAAUUACUGGGCGUAAAGCGUGCGCAGGUGGUUUUGUAAGUCAGAUGUGAAAUCCCCGGGCUUAACCUGGGAACU
RNAcentral lists this ribosomal RNA (423 nucleotides) under uncultured bacterium. RNAcentral's name for it is "bacterial SSU rRNA". It matches the Rfam family "Bacterial small subunit ribosomal RNA", at positions 207 to 622 of the family's 1533-position model. The record is from RNAcentral.